RNAcentral lists this long non-coding RNA (650 nucleotides) under Triticum aestivum (bread wheat). Its description in RNAcentral is "long non-coding RNA (TAES_LNC026432)". Lineage: Eukaryota; Viridiplantae; Streptophyta; Magnoliopsida; Poales; Poaceae. The record is from RNAcentral.
GACCUCAACGAAUCCGUGGAGGUACUGUCAGACGAGCUAGAUCAUGGCGAUUAUGCCAGUGGAUCAUCAGAUGAUAGCGACGACGACGAAGGAGGUGAUCCUUCUCAGCCUCUUGCCAUUCAGCAGAGGGCCGUGGUGCCCUCAACGGAGAGAUGGACGGAUAGUGACAUAGCCCGUCAUGAUGCCAUGGUACUAGCAUUUCUGAUCAUCUUGCAAUUUUCACCAAUAAUUCGUUGACACAACAAUGUCGGCUUCACGCAGAUUAGAGACAUGUAGGGGCUCCUUGAGAUUGUGUUGGAAGGCCUUCGGAUGGUACCCCCUCUCCCACAUAGCGAAAAGGCAAUAUUAAUACGAAUUUAUCAACGUGUCAAGGAGUUUAUUGAGCUCUGCAGUGGCGCUCGAAUUAAUGGCAUUGUAUGGUCGGCACUACCAGGCAGGGCGCGUCCAAGCCUCACCACUUCAAUGGAUCAUGAGGUAUAUUUGCAAAUUCAUCGUAUCUAACACUUGGUACUAUGCGUGUGUGUGUGUGUAAUAUGUUCUGCUGUGAACCGUGACAGACCGGGACGCGCCAGGACUCAGUGCUAUUGCGUAUGCCAGCCAGCACUCCCUUGCAGCGCUCUCAGUUCAGCGGUUCACAGCCAGAACGUCAG